This 497-nucleotide ribosomal RNA is filed under the name uncultured bacterium. RNAcentral describes it as "partial 16S ribosomal RNA". It matches the Rfam family "Bacterial small subunit ribosomal RNA", at positions 28 to 507 of the family's 1533-position model. The record is from RNAcentral.
GAUGAACGCUGGCGGCGUGCCUAAUACAUGCAAGUCGAGCGAACGGACGAGAAGCUUGCUUCUCUGAUGUUAGCGGCGGACGGGUGAGUAACACGUGGAUAACCUACCUAUAAGACUGGGAUAACUUCGGGAAACCGGAGCUAAUACCGGAUAAUAUUUUGAACCGCAUGGUUCAAAAGAGAAGGACGGUCUUGCUGUCACUUAUAGAUGGAUCCACGCUGCAUUAGCUAGUUGGUAAGGUAACGGCUUACCAAGGCAACGAUGCAUAGCCGACCUGAGAGGGUGAUCGCCCACACUGGAACUGAGCCACGGUCCAGACUCCUGCGGGAGGCAGCAGUAGGGAAUCUGCCGCAAUGGGCGAAAGCCUGACGGAGCAACGCCGCGUGAGUGAUGAAGGUCUUCGGAUCGUAAAACUCUGUUAUUAGGGAAGAACAUAUGUGUAAGUAACUGUGCACAUCUUGACGGUACCUAAUCAGAAAGCCACGGCUAACUACGUG